CUUCAAGUUCCCUGCCUUGAACUCUGCUGCUCUUCUCCGAUUAAACAGGCUGCCUCUGACUCCAUCAAGACUGGACCCGACGGCAAGAGCCAAUAGAUUUCCUGUGACCAGCACCAGGCAUGUUCCAUAUCUUC
This 134-nucleotide long non-coding RNA is filed under the name Cavia porcellus (domestic guinea pig). RNAcentral's name for it is "lncRNA (ENSCPOG00000033071.1)". Lineage: Eukaryota; Metazoa; Chordata; Mammalia; Rodentia; Caviidae. The record is from RNAcentral.